RNAcentral lists this small nuclear RNA (114 nucleotides) under Octodon degus (degu). RNAcentral describes it as "U4 spliceosomal RNA (ENSODEG00000025735.1)". It matches the Rfam family "U4 spliceosomal RNA". Rfam says of the family: U4 small nuclear RNA (U4 snRNA) is a component of the major U2-dependent spliceosome. Lineage: Eukaryota; Metazoa; Chordata; Mammalia; Rodentia; Octodontidae. The record is from RNAcentral.
AGCUUUGCACAGUGGCAAUGUUGUAGCCAAUGAGGUUUAUCUGAGGUGUGAUUAUUGCUAAUUGAAAACUUUCCCAAUACUCUGCUGCGAUGACCUGAAAAUAUCUUUAGCAUU